Molecule: ribosomal RNA, 497 nt
Filed under: uncultured bacterium
Lineage: Bacteria
Description: partial 16S ribosomal RNA
Rfam family: Bacterial small subunit ribosomal RNA
Source: RNAcentral
GAUGAACGCUGGCGGCGUGCCUAACACAUGCAAGUCGAACGGACAGACGCGGAGCUUGCUCCUCUGACGUUAGCGGCGGACGGGUGAGUAACACGUGGAUAACCUACCUAUAAGACUGGGAUAACAUCGGGAAGCCAGUGCUAAUACCGGAUAAUAUAUUGAACCGGAUGGUUCAAUAGUUACAGACGGUUUUGCUGUCCCUUAUAGAUGGAUCCGCGCCGUAUUAGCUGGUUGGUAAGGUAACGGCUUACCAAGGCAACGAUGCGUAGCCGACCUGAGAGGGUGGUCGGCCACACUGGAACGGAGACACGGUCCAGACUCCUACGGGAGGCAGCAGUGGGGAAUCUUCCGCAAUGGGCGGAAGCCUGACGGAGCCACGCCGCGUGAGUGAUGAAGGUCUUCGGAUCGUAAAACCCUUUUAUUGGGGAAGAACAAAUGCAUAAGUAACUAUGCACGUCUUGACGGUACCUAAUGAGAAAGCACCGGCUAACUACGUG